RNAcentral lists this ribosomal RNA (482 nucleotides) under Belgica antarctica. Its description in RNAcentral is "eukaryotic small subunit ribosomal RNA". It matches the Rfam family "Eukaryotic small subunit ribosomal RNA", at positions 4 to 505 of the family's 1831-position model. Lineage: Eukaryota; Metazoa; Arthropoda; Insecta; Diptera; Chironomidae. The record is from RNAcentral.
CUGGUUGAUCCUACCAGUAAUAUACGCUCGUCUCAAAGGUUAAGCCAUGCAUGUCUAAGUACAAACUAAAAUAAAGUGAAACCGCAAAAGGCUCAGUAUAACAGCUGUAAUUUCUUAGAUCAUAUUCCCAGUACUUGGAUAACUGUGGAAAAUCUAGAGCUAAUACAUGCAUAUAAUACAAGUACCCGUCAAACGGUUCUUGUGCAGUUAUUAGACAAACCAAUCAACCCUUCGGGGAUGUUCAUAUCGGUGGAACUCUAGAUAACUUUGCUGAUCGUAUGGCCUUUGUGCCGGCGACAGAUCUUUCAAAUGUCUGCCCUAUCCACUUUGAUGGUAGUAUAGAGGACUACCAUUGUUGCAACGGGUAACGGGGAAUCAGGGUUCGAUUCCGGAGAUGGAGCCCGAGAAAUUGCUUAGGAAGGCAGCAGAAUUACAUAGAUUUCUUUCAUAGAUUCAUAACUAUCAAUUUAUUAUCAUAGAUU